Podarcis lilfordi (Lilford's wall lizard) is the source of this 122-nucleotide non-coding RNA. Lineage: Eukaryota; Metazoa; Chordata; Lepidosauria; Squamata; Lacertidae. The record is from the annotation of a GenBank genome assembly.
ACCUUAGAGACCAACUAAGUUUGUUAUUGGUAUGAGCUUUCGUGUGCAAGCACACAAAUCUGGAGAAGUGUGCAUGCACACAAAAGCUCAUACCAAUAACAAACUUAGUUGGUUUCUAAGGU